UAGGGAAUCUUCCGCAAUGGACGAAAGUCUGACGGAGCAACGCCGCGUGAGUGAAGAAGGAUUUCGGUUCGUAAAACUCUGUUGUUAGGGAAGAAAAAAUGUAUAGUAACUAUAUACAAAAGAGACGGUACCUAACCAGAAAGCCACGGCUAACUACGUGCCAGCAGCCGCGGUAAUACGUAGGUGGCAAGCGUUGUCCGGAAUUAUUGGGAGUAAAGCGCGCGCAGGUGGUGUAGAAAGUCUGAUGUGAAAGCCCACGGCUCAACCGUGGAGGGUCAUUGGAAACUAAUAAACUUGAGUGCAGGAGAGAAAAGUGGAAGUCCUAGUGUAGCGGUGAAAUGCGUAGAGAUUAGGAGGAACACCGGUGGCGAAAGCGGCUUUUUGGCCUGCAACUGACACUGAGGCACGAAAGCGUGGGUAGCAAACAGG
RNAcentral lists this ribosomal RNA (429 nucleotides) under Verrucomicrobiota bacterium. Its description in RNAcentral is "Verrucomicrobia bacterium partial 16S ribosomal RNA". It matches the Rfam family "Bacterial small subunit ribosomal RNA", at positions 355 to 776 of the family's 1533-position model. Lineage: Bacteria; Pseudomonadati; Verrucomicrobiota. The record is from RNAcentral.